This 253-nucleotide ribosomal RNA is filed under the name uncultured bacterium. Its description in RNAcentral is "partial 16S ribosomal RNA". It matches the Rfam family "Bacterial small subunit ribosomal RNA", at positions 524 to 776 of the family's 1533-position model. The record is from RNAcentral.
UACAGAGGUCUCAAGCGUUGUUCGGAUUCAUUGGGCGUAAAGGGUGCGUAGGCGGCGCGGUAAGUCGGGUGUGAAAUCUCGGGGCUUAACUCCGAAACUGCAUUCGAUACUGCCGUGCUUGAGGACUGGAGAGGAGACUGGAAUUUACGGUGUAGCAGUGAAAUGCGUAGAUAUCGUGAGGAAGACCAGUGGCGAAGGCGGAUCUCUGGACAGUUCCUGACGCUGAGGCGCGAAGGCCAGGGGAGCAAACAGG